GAUUCGUUGGCGCAGUUGGGAGCGCGUCAUUUAUACGGGAUUAUAUCCUAGUACGCUGAAGGACGCGGGUUCGAGCCCCGCACGAAUCG
Clavulina sp. PMI_390 is the source of this 89-nucleotide non-coding RNA. NCBI's taxonomy places the organism in Eukaryota, Fungi, Basidiomycota, Agaricomycetes, Cantharellales, Hydnaceae. The record is from the annotation of a GenBank genome assembly.